AUGAGUUUUCCUUCAGCCUUUAGUUUCUGUUCCACUACGGAGAAGUCGCGGGCCCCCAGAACACGGAGCAGUGAGCGGCGCUGGCAGCCCCAGGGCUGCAGCGGGGGCACCGCAAGAGCUUCUCGCCUCCUUCCCUCCCACGCAGGACUUCAACGCGAGCCCGCGCGCAGCUUAAUCAAUCGCAAGAGCCCAAGCCGUAGAGCAAGUCCAGUCCCGGGGAGUCUGGCUCAGGCUUUGCUGGCGCCGCCGGAGAGGCUGGCAGGCGGCGGGCCGAGCUCGGGCGGGCUCAGCCCACAGACCGGGGCGCGCCCGCUGCGCUCGCGGAGUCCGAGCCUGGCGCGCCGCGGGAGGCCGGCGCGCUCCCACCGUCCGCAGCCGCCGGUGCCCCCAGGCUUGUCUCGCCCCGGCCUCCGCGGGCAGACCCACAGCCGCUCUCCGCCCCCGGCGCCGGGCGCGCAUCGCCCUCCAAUCCCCGCUUACAUAAGGCGGGCGGGCGCGCUCCCGCCGCCGCUCAGCCCCCAGCGGAGUUGGGCUGCGCCCUCCACGCCUCCUCGGCGAGCGCCCCCGCGCCCCCGUGCGCCCCGGCGCUCCGAGGUGACCCUCCCCGGCAGCCCAGCCGCGGGCGUGAGCACCCUGAGGCUGGAGACCGGAAAGCUCCGCGGCGCCCGACUCCCUCCCUCCGCUCCCACCUCCUCCCACUUCUCGCUUCCUCUCCCUCCGCCGCCUCCCCCGCCCCCCCUCGCCUGUGCGUUCGGCACUGGAGAGGGGACCCGGAGAGCAGUCCGGGCUCGGCGCGCGGCGGAGCUGCGGCUGUUCCUGCUGCUGGGGGAGCGGCGAGGGGGCCGCCUGGCGCCUCCCGGACUUCCCAAGUGGGGGCAGAGCAGCCGCUCCCCGAGCCGCCAGUUAGAGGGCACGGCCCGGAGGGACCGCCAAACUCCUCCUCGGCGUCUCCUCUCCACCCCCUUUGGCUCCUGCCCUUGGAGAAAGUGGAGUGCGGCUCUCGGUCAUCAUUAUUUCUUCGGGCUGCUUCGUGGGUGCACGGAUUCAGCUGCUGCCCGGUGGGGCUCUCCGCUCGUGGCGCGUCUCCCCGAGUGGUUCCGCCCGGCACACCGCUGUCGACGAUGA
Molecule: long non-coding RNA, 1125 nt
Filed under: Vulpes vulpes (red fox)
Lineage: Eukaryota; Metazoa; Chordata; Mammalia; Carnivora; Canidae
Description: lncRNA (ENSVVUG00000007535.1)
Source: RNAcentral